UUGACCUCGGAUCAGGUAGGAAUACCCGCUGAACUUAAGCAUAUCAAUAAGCGGAGGAAAAGAAACCAACAGGGAUUGCCCUAGUAACGGCGAGUGAAGCGGCAACAGCUCAAAUUUGAAAUCUGGCCUCGGCCCGAGUUGUAAUUUGCAGAGGAUGCUUCUGGCGCGGUGCCUUCCGAGUUCCCUGGAACGGGACGCCACAGAGGGUGAGAGCCCCGUAUGGUCGGACACCAAGCCUGUGUGAAGCUCCUUCGACGAGUCGAGUAGUUUGGGAAUGCUGCUCUAAAUGGGAGGUAAAUCUCUUCUAAAGCUAAAUACCGGCCAGAGACCGAUAGCGCACAAGUAGAGUGAUCGAAAGAUGAAAAGCACCUUGAAAAGGGGGUUAAAUAGUACGUGAAAUUGUUGAAAGGGAAGCACUUGUGACCAGACUUGGGCCGGGCGGCUCAUCAGGGGUUCUCCCCUGUGCACUCCGCCCGGCACAGGCCAGCAUCGGUUUUCGCGGGGGGACAAGACCGCCGGGAACGUAGCACCCUCCGGGGUGUGUUAUAGCCCGGCGGACGAUACCCCCGCGGGGACCGAGGUCCGC
This 586-nucleotide ribosomal RNA is filed under the name Stenocarpella maydis. Its description in RNAcentral is "eukaryotic LSU rRNA". It matches the Rfam family "Eukaryotic large subunit ribosomal RNA", at positions 1 to 598 of the family's 3401-position model. Lineage: Eukaryota; Fungi; Ascomycota; Sordariomycetes; Diaporthales; Diaporthaceae. The record is from RNAcentral.